ACCUUCGGGCCUCUUGCCAUCGGAUGUGCCCAGAUGGGAUUAGCUUGUUGGUGGGGUAACGGCUCACCAAGGCGACGAUCCCUAGCUGGUCUGAGAGGAUGACCAGCCACACUGGAACUGAGACACGGUCCAGACUCCUACGGGAGGCAGCAGUGGGGAAUAUUGCACAAUGGGCGCAAGCCUGAUGCAGCCAUGCCGCGUGUAUGAAGAAGGCCUUCGGGUUGUAAAGUACUUUCAGCGGGGAGGAAGGGAGUAAAGUUAAUACCUUUGCUCAUUGACGUUACCCGCAGAAGAAGCACCGGCUAACUCCGUGCCAGCAGCCGCGGUAAUACGGAGGGUGCAAGCGUUAAUCGGAAUUACUGGGCGUAAAGCGCACGCAGGCGGUUUGUUAAGUCAGAUGUGAAAUCCCCGGGCUCAACCUGGGAACUGCAUCUGAUACUGGCAAGCUUGAGUCUCGUAGAGGGGGGUAGAAUUCCAGGUGUAGCGGUGAAAUGCGUAGAGAUCUGGAGGAAUACCGGUGGCGAAGGCGGCCCCCUGGACGAAGACUGACGCUCAGGUGCGAAAGCGUGGGGAGCAAACAGGAUUAGAUACCCUGGUAGUCCACGCCGUAAACGAUGUCGACUUGGAGGUUGUGCCCUUGAGGCGUGGCUUCCGGAGCUAACGCGUUAAGUCGACCGCCUGGGGAGUACGGCCGCAAGGUUAAAACUCAAAUGAAUUGACGGGGGCCCGCACAAGCGGUGGAGCAUGUGGUUUAAUUCGAUGCAACGCGAAGAACCUUACCUGGUCUUGACAUCCACGGAAGUUUUCAGAGAUGAGAAUGUGCCUUCGGGAACCGUGAGACAGGUGCUGCAUGGCUGUCGUCAGCUCGUGUUGUGAAAUGUUGGGUUAAGUCCCGCAACGAGCGCAACCCUUAUCCUUUGUUGCCAGCGGUCCGGCCGGGAACUCAAAGGAGACUGCCAGUGAUAAACUGGAGGAAGGUGGGGAUGACGUCAAGUCAUCAUGGCCCUUACGACCAGGGCUACACACGUGCUACAAUGGCGCAUACAAAGAGAAGCGACCUCGCGAGAGCAAGCGGACCUCAUAAAGUGCGUCGUAGUCCGGAUUGGAGUCUGCAACUCGACUCCAUGAAGUCGGAAUCGCUAGUAAUCGUGGAUCAGAAUGCCACGGUGAAUACGUUCCCGGGCCUUGUACACACCGCCCGUCACACCAUGGGAGUGGGUUGCAAAAGAAGUAGGUAGCUUAACCUUCGGGAGGGCGCUUACCACUUUGUGAUUCAUGACUGGGGUGAAGUCGUAACAAGGUAACCGUAGGGGAACCUGCGGUUGGAUCACCUCCUUACCUUAAAGAAGC
Molecule: ribosomal RNA, 1350 nt
Filed under: Escherichia coli
Lineage: Bacteria; Pseudomonadati; Pseudomonadota; Gammaproteobacteria; Enterobacterales; Enterobacteriaceae
Description: bacterial SSU rRNA
Rfam family: Bacterial small subunit ribosomal RNA
Source: RNAcentral